Molecule: long non-coding RNA, 225 nt
Organism: Morus notabilis
Lineage: Eukaryota; Viridiplantae; Streptophyta; Magnoliopsida; Rosales; Moraceae
Exons: 3
Source: RefSeq, a predicted model, not a curated record
CACAUGGCACAAGUGAUGAAUAAGUGGAGGCUCUCAUUGCCAAAAGCUUGAUGAAAGCUUUAUAUUAGCUCUGAGGGAGGCGGGACAAGUUACCAGCCAAUAAAAGAGACCACAGACAGGGGAUUGGCCUCCAUUUCAUGAUAAGGAAGCUACAAGUAGUCCCUUUCCAGGUGAUUUGAUUCCAAAAUGAAUAGCCAAAGAAAAUCUCAAGGAAACACGUACAAU